AGCCAGGCGGCGGUUCGCUCCCACGCGUGCCUGCCCCAUUUGGCUGUGUGCUUGGCGGAGGUUCCAGGGUGCUCUUCGUUGAGUGUCCCGGUGCGCCGUCAGGUUUACUUUGAAAAAAUUAGAGUGCUCAAAGCAGGCUUUUCAGGCUUGAAUAUUCGUGCAUGGAAUAAUGGAAUAGGAACUCGUUCCUAUUUUGUUGGUUUUCGGAAAUCAAGUUAAUGAUUAAUAGGGACAAUUGGGGGCAUUAGUAUUCAAACGACAGAGGUGAAAUUGUUGGACCGUUUGAAGACUAACUACUGCGAAAGCAUUUGCCAAGAGUGUUGGCA
RNAcentral lists this ribosomal RNA (326 nucleotides) under marine copepod environmental sample. Its description in RNAcentral is "SSU rRNA". The stretch from base 104 to 326 matches the Rfam family "Eukaryotic small subunit ribosomal RNA", at positions 751 to 972 of the family's 1831-position model. The record is from RNAcentral. Lineage: Eukaryota; Metazoa; Arthropoda; Copepoda.